This is a long non-coding RNA of Meriones unguiculatus (Mongolian gerbil), 586 nucleotides long. RefSeq lists it as uncharacterized. The record is from RefSeq and is a predicted model, not a curated record. NCBI's taxonomy places the organism in Eukaryota, Metazoa, Chordata, Mammalia, Rodentia, Muridae. The transcript is spliced from 3 exons.
UAUCCUACAUUGUAUGGAAGUGUACGACAGUAUCAAGCUGACCGGAUUAAGCUGUCUCUUUCUACCCCCUACACCCCCGGUUUAUACAGUGCAAGGUUUUCAAGGUGGGUCAAUUGUUCCUGCAUCUCAGAACAGGGAGAGAGAAACUACUUCCAGACUGGCACCUGACCAGUAACUCCCAGAGCACAAUGUUGGGUACCGUUCCGUUUCUGUGGACAUACUGUCACUCGGUCAGAACGUUAAAACCUGCCACCACUUCCAACUCUGUGUCUGGAUGCUGGUGUCACAGCUGCACUGCACUGCGGUGUAGUCAAUUGUGUCCCCCCACCCUCCCCGACACGCAGGGGAGCUCUGUCAUCCCACAGAGCGCUCACAGCACCCGGAACACAGAAGUAUCCAUGGGGCUGGAGAGAUGGCUCAGUGGUGAAGAGCACUUGGCUUCUCUUUCAGAGGACCUGAGUUCAAUUCCCAGCAACCACAUGGUGACUCACAACCAUCUGUGAUGCCCUCUUCUGGCGUGCAGGUUUACAUUCAGGCAGAGCAAUGUAUAUGUAAAAAUAAAUAAAUCUUUAAAAUAAAAAAGGAC